GACCUCAGGUCAGGCGGGGCUACCCG
This 26-nucleotide ribosomal RNA is filed under the name Sophora tomentosa. RNAcentral's name for it is "partial 26S ribosomal RNA". Lineage: Eukaryota; Viridiplantae; Streptophyta; Magnoliopsida; Fabales; Fabaceae. The record is from RNAcentral.